Trichomycterus rosablanca is the source of this 389-nucleotide long non-coding RNA. RefSeq lists it as uncharacterized. The record is from RefSeq and is a predicted model, not a curated record. NCBI's taxonomy places the organism in Eukaryota, Metazoa, Chordata, Actinopteri, Siluriformes, Trichomycteridae. The transcript has 3 exons.
CGACUUAUCGGCACUUAAGAAAAGUUCGGGACGCUGACUGGUACCUGGAUAUGGUGUGUUUUUAAGCAAUGUGACACUGAGGGUUUGGCUUACACCACCCCAUCCUGUCCAAGAAGAGAUUACCCUGCCUUUUCACCUACCAGUGCGGAGCUUACCGAGGAGAUGCUGGUGUGAUUGGCCAUCAUGAGGCCGCUGACACGGUGAGCCGAGGGCAAAUAGGGAGACUUUCGGGACAGCGCCACUUGAAUGCUGGCAGGACCCCAUGGGAUAAAGCUAGCCAACUUCCUCUCUCGGAUCCUCUGAAGACUCUUGUGGACCUAAAUGAGGAGAGACAGGUAGAGGAGAGUGAUGAAACUAAAAGACAUUAAAAUAUGUAGCUUUUGAUUGAA